AACGAACGCUGGCGGCAUGCCUAACACAUGCAAGUCGAACGAUGCCUUCGGGCAUAGUGGCGCACGGGUGCGUAACGCGUGGGAAUCUGCCCCUGGGUUCGGAAUAACAGCGAGAAAUUGCUGCUAAUACCGGAUGAUGACGAAAGUCCAAAGAUUUAUCGCCCAGGGAUGAGCCCGCGUAGGAUUAGCUAGUUGGUGAGGUAAAAGCUCACCAAGGCGACGAUCCUUAGCUGGUCUGAGAGGAUGAUCAGCCACACUGGGACUGAGACACGGCCCAGACUCCUACGGGAGGCAGCAGUGGGGAAUAUUGGACAAUGGGCGAAAGCCUGAUCCAGCAAUGCCGCGUGAGUGAUGAAGGCCUUAGGGUUGUAAAGCUCUUUUACCCGGGAUG
RNAcentral lists this ribosomal RNA (391 nucleotides) under Sphingomonas sp. Cl-005. RNAcentral's name for it is "bacterial SSU rRNA". It matches the Rfam family "Bacterial small subunit ribosomal RNA", at positions 29 to 447 of the family's 1533-position model. The record is from RNAcentral. Lineage: Bacteria; Pseudomonadati; Pseudomonadota; Alphaproteobacteria; Sphingomonadales; Sphingomonadaceae.